UAAUAGUCGCCUUGUAAAUGUAUACAUUUA
RNAcentral lists this non-coding RNA (30 nucleotides) under Mus musculus (house mouse). Lineage: Eukaryota; Metazoa; Chordata; Mammalia; Rodentia; Muridae. The record is from RNAcentral.